Molecule: long non-coding RNA, 755 nt
Organism: Astyanax mexicanus (Mexican tetra)
Lineage: Eukaryota; Metazoa; Chordata; Actinopteri; Characiformes; Acestrorhamphidae
Exons: 3
Source: RefSeq, a predicted model, not a curated record
GGGAAUCCUGUGCCUGCUAUUUUCCUCCUCUCAUGUGUUUUUUACCUCUCAAAUUUACAGUUCUCCUCGCACGCUAUGCAAAUUCACUUACCUGCGGCCCCGACUUUUGAUAUUGAUGUGACGCCUUAGUUAAAAUUUAGAGUACAUUUAGGCUGUAAACCAGCGACUUGGAGCUUCUUGGCCAUGUAGCCAGGCAUACUGUAGAGGAAGAGGGCCACGAUGGCAAGCAGGAGUAAGGCCAGUACGAUUUUGAUGACCAGCCAUUUGUACUGGUUGCAGACAAGAGGGCAGUGGCAGCAGAUUAUGACUCCCAAGAUACUCACAUGAAAAGGUAAAGUCUUUGGAAGACAAAUGCACACAACAAUGAGGUGAGUUUUGUAGAAACAGUCCAGAAAUGGUAACAAAUGCAUGUACAGUGUUUAUUCUUUAAUGUGUAUCACACAAAGCACUCAGUUAUUAUUGUUGCAUGGACAGGCAAUACAAAUGCAAUCCAUUUAUCUAUAAACAAUCAAAUGACAAUGCAAACCUUAAAUUAAUACAAAAUGUAACAUCAACUCGAGUGAAGACAGGCAUAGAAGUCAAACUGUGUUGUUUAAAUAUAUUCACAAAGAUGGUAAAUCCUUUUUUUUGUUUUAAGAAACACUCCUGGGCCUAUUUCAGGGGUGCACAUUUGUGGCCUAGCCUGUCUGUGAUGUAUUAUAUUUGAACACAUAUGUAAAUUUCUGUAGCUGUGGUGCUUUUUGAUUGAAGCUUGA